Molecule: ribosomal RNA, 740 nt
Filed under: Listeria monocytogenes
Lineage: Bacteria; Bacillati; Bacillota; Bacilli; Caryophanales; Listeriaceae
Description: bacterial SSU rRNA
Rfam family: Bacterial small subunit ribosomal RNA
Source: RNAcentral
GCAAGUCGAACGCUUUUUCUUUCACCGGAGCUUGCUCCACCGAAAGAAAAAGAGUGGCGAACGGGUGAGUAACACGUGGGUAACCUGCCCAUCAGAAGGGGAUAACACUUGGAAACAGGUGCUAAUACCGUAUAACACUAUUUUCCGCAUGGAAGAAAGUUGAAAGGCGCUUUUGCGUCACUGAUGGAUGGACCCGCGGUGCAUUAGCUAGUUGGUGAGGUAACGGCUCACCAAGGCCACGAUGCAUAGCCGACCUGAGAGGGUGAUCGGCCACACUGGGACUGAGACACGGCCCAGACUCCUACGGGAGGCAGCAGUAGGGAAUCUUCGGCAAUGGACGAAAGUCUGACCGAGCAACGCCGCGUGAGUGAAGAAGGUUUUCGGAUCGUAAAACUCUGUUGUUAGAGAAGAACAAGGAUGAGAGUAGAACGUUCAUCCCUUGACGGUAUCUAACCAGAAAGCCACGGCUAACUACGUGCCAGCAGCCGCGGUAAUACGUAGGUGGCAAGCGUUGUCCGGAUUUAUUGGGCGUAAAGCGAGCGCAGGCGGUUUCUUAAGUCUGAUGUGAAAGCCCCCGGCUCAACCGGGGAGGGUCAUUGGAAACUGGGAGACUUGAGUGCAGAAGAGGAGAGUGGAAUUCCAUGUGUAGCGGUGAAAUGCGUAGAUAUAUGGAGGAACACCAGUGGCGAAGGCGGCUCUCUGGUCUGUAACUGACGCUGAGGCUCGAAAGCGUGGGGAGC